Molecule: long non-coding RNA, 481 nt
Filed under: Brassica rapa (field mustard)
Lineage: Eukaryota; Viridiplantae; Streptophyta; Magnoliopsida; Brassicales; Brassicaceae
Description: long non-coding RNA (BRAP_LNC006647)
Source: RNAcentral
UAAACUGCAGAGUAUUUUCGGAUCGACCACAUGCUCAACAAUCGAUCAAUCCGUAAAAAAGAUGGUAGAUUUUCUUGGCGAGGUAAUUACAAUUUUAGCAAAAAUAUCUUUGAUUUUCAAAUUUAAGUAUAUAACUAUUCUUUUGAAUAUUAUUUUUUAUUGUAUUUUUUGACUAAAUUAUUGUAUUAUAAUGUUUAUGUAAAUAUUUUUUGUGAUGUUUGAAUUUGUGUUGUUCGUAUACUUAACCUAGAUGAUAUUGAUGUUUAACCAUUUGUUGUUUUUAUUUUUUUUUAAUCAGAAAUUGUUUUUAUUUAAAAAAAUUAUUCAUAUAUAAUAUAAUAGUUUAAGUUUGGAAGAUUAAUCUAUAUAUAUAAAUUAUGUAUAUUUUUUUAAAAAUAAUUUAAGAUAUUAUAUAUUGAGUAACUGAAUUUCUUAUCUUGAAAAUAAAAUAUUUAUAUUUUUGUCUUCAUGUUAUACUCAC